Molecule: long non-coding RNA, 540 nt
Organism: Rhododendron vialii
Lineage: Eukaryota; Viridiplantae; Streptophyta; Magnoliopsida; Ericales; Ericaceae
Exons: 2
Source: RefSeq, a predicted model, not a curated record
AGAGGACAUGCGGGAUAGCAUAGCCCGCUAACCAAACAGACUUGAAUUGCGAGUCAGGAAAACCUUCUUCUCAGCUCUCUCUCUCUCAUCAGUCAUCACCUUCUGUCUCGCGCUCAACGCUGUCGGCACGACCCUAGCCUCAAACGGUAUUGUCACGUGGUGGCUCUCUUUUCCGUGCUAAUGGCUUACUCUGGUGUGCUAAGUAUCUUGUUCGCCGCUGGUGUCUGGUGUGCAAGUUAUGCAUUUGUUGCAGUUGUUGGGAUUGUCCAGAUUUUCAAUAUCCUCCGUAUCUCCAUUUGAAUUGGGAGGCUAUCAUGGGCUGCAGCUAGUUAUUGGCCUAUUAGCAGUGGGAGGUGGUUUGAAACUUUACACCUCAUUGACUGUGUUAUCCACGUAGCAUUAUAUCUAUGUUUCUUCAGAGUAGUGUGUAUAUAGUCCCAUGUUUUAAGUUUUGUGUCGAUCGAACAGCUUCUAGACAUACAUGUGCUAUCUUUUGGCUUAUCAAUUGAGAAAGAUUUCUGGCAGUCAGCCCGUUUGAUA